Long non-coding RNA from Eriocheir sinensis (Chinese mitten crab), 5002 nucleotides. RefSeq lists it as uncharacterized. Lineage: Eukaryota; Metazoa; Arthropoda; Malacostraca; Decapoda; Varunidae. The record is from RefSeq and is a predicted model, not a curated record. The transcript has 3 exons.
GGCUAUCAUGUGUUUGAAGAUACCCUAAACUUAACCUAACAUAUCCUAUCAAAACCAAAACAAACACUAUAGGUCUUGACUCAGAACAUUCAUAUAAGCUUCCUUCCUAAUGAGACUUUCUAUACAUAAAAGUGAGGUCAUUCUUUGUUGAUUUAUACCAUAAGGGGCUGGCUAUCAUGUGUUUGAAGAUACCCUAAACUUAACCUAACGUAUCCUAACAAAACCAAAACAAACACUAUAGGUCUUGACUCAGAAAAUUCAUAUAAGCUUCCUUACUAAUGAGACUUUCUAUACAAAAAAGUGAGGUCAUUCUUUGUUGAUUUAUACCAUAAGGGGCUGGCUAUCAUGUGUUUGAAGAUACCCUAAACUUAACCUAACGUAUCCUAACAAAACCAAAACAGACACUAUAGGUCUUGACUCAGAAAAUUUAUAUAUGCUUCCUUCCUAAUGAGACUUUCUAUACAAAAAAGUGAGGUCAUUCUUUGUUGAUUUAUACCAUAAGGGGCUGGCUAUCAUGUGUUUGAAGAUACCCUAAACUUAACCUAACGUAUCCUAACAAAACCAAAACAGACACUAUAGGUCUUGACUCAGAAAAUUUAUAUAUGCAUCCUUCCUAAUGAGACUUUCUAUACAUAAAAGUGAGGUCAUUCUUUGUUGAUUUAUACCAUAAGGGGUUAGCUAUCAUGUGUUUGAAGAUACCCUAAACUUAACCUAACAUAUCCUAUCAAAACCAAAACAAACACUAAGUCUUGACUCAGAACAUUCAUAUAAGCUUCCUUACUAAUGAGACUUUCUAUACAAAAAAGUGAGGUCAUUCUUUGUUGAUUUAUACCAUAAGGGGCUGGUUAUCAUGUGUUUGAAGAUACCCUAAACUUAACCUAACGUAUCCUAACAAAACCAAAACAAACACUAUAGGUCUUGACUCAAAAAAUUCAUAUAUGCUUUCUUACUAAUAAGACUUUCUAUACAAAAAAGUGAGGUCAUUCUUUGUUGAUUUUUACCAUAAGGGGCUGGCUAUCAUGUGUUUGAAGAUACCCUAAACUUAACCUAACAUAUCCUAUCAAAACCAAAACAAACACUAUAGGUUUUGACUCAGAACAUUCAUAUAAGCUUCCUUACUAAUGAGACUUUCUAUACAAAAAAGUGAGGUCAUUCUUUGUUGAUUUAUACCAUAAGGGGCUGGCUAUCAUGUGUUGGAAGAUACCCUAAACUUAACCUAACGUAUCCUAACAAAACCAAAACAAACACUAUAGGUCUUGACUCAAAAAAAUCAUAUAAGCUUCCUUACUAAUUAGACUUUUUAUACAAAAAAGUGAGGUCAUUCUUUGUUGAUUUAUACCAUAAGCAUAUAUAAAUAUACCAAGAAGCAUAUAUAAAUUUUCUGAGUCAAGACCUAGUGUCUUUUGGUUUCGUUAGGAUAUGUUAGGUUAAGUUUAGGGUAUCUUCAAACACAUGAUAGCCAGCCCCUUAUGGUAUAAAUCAACAAAGAAUGACCUCACUUUUUUGUAUAGAAAGUCUCAUUAGUAAGGAAGCAUAUAUGAAUUUUCUGAGUGUUUCUUUUGGUUUUGUUAGGUUAUGUUAGGUUAAGCUUAGGGUAUCUUCAAACACAUGAUGGCCAGCACUCUGCAAGUUAUUUUGCAGCUGCGGCUUCUGGCUGCGGCGGGUGUACAACAGGCAUUGAAAAGUCAAUCAGUUAAUGAUUUGUGACAGAAACAGUUAUCAGAUUAUUUCAUAACACCCAGAAAAGCACCAAAAGAAAAGUUUCGUAAGCCUGUGUGAGAUUGGCGCACUUGUAAAAUUUUACCCAUUCCCAUAACAAUACGGCCCUCCCGCAGGGCUCCACUGCCAACCUGGCAGCCUCAAUGCCUCGUAGUCCAUUGCGAAGUGUGCUGUGCAGCUAUACAGACAACGUGCACACAACUUAAAAAAUAUAUAUAUAUAUACCUAUGCUUAUUAGGUUCGUUGGUAUUAUUUUACUUUUUUUUUUAUUUUCACAGUUUAUAAUGGACUUUUGGCAUUAAUGGACUAAGUUCCCCCCCAAUUAAUCCAUUAUAUCGAGUGUUUACUGUAUGGUAUUUUGAGGUGGUAAAGCUAAACUAUAGAUACAUUUACAACAUGAAAAAAAUUAAUGUAGUUCUCCAGGGUUACCAAGAAAGGUUAUGCCGUUAAUAUGCAGGAGGAGUAGGCGUGGUCUGUGAAGCACAAGGGAUAUAUAUUCCAAUUUAUUUAGACCUCAGUUUAUUCAGGAUAACCUAUUGAGCAUCAGAAAUUGUCUAAAAAAUGUUUAAAUUGGAAUAAUAACAUACAUAAUUGGAAGCGCAAUCAAUCAUACUCCCCGCAUCAUGGCUCAUCAAACGCUGGGUGAGAGGCUGAGAGCAACUCGAUUGAGUAUUCUCUCAUUACUGCUGUGCCGGCACCAUUGCCAGAUUCUCGUACUCAGAGCAUCAUAUUUACCAGUUCCUGACUGAUAACUAUUGCUCAGAAGCACCGAUAAUUAACCAUUUUAUUGAUAGCUACAUAUGAAGCCAGUUAUAUGGGUCAGAAAACAGCAAACAUAAGAGGCUGAGUACGACAAUCUGGCAACGUUGGUGGCUGGGUAGGAGCUUUCAAGUAGUCAGGGCCAAUCACGAGCACUGACUUAUUGUUGUGGCCAUUGAGAUACAUAUCUAGACUCAAAGCCAAUCAUAUAGCUCCUUUUCACUUGCUAGGAGAAGCAGGAAGGAUUUGAAUUCACUCUUUUCUUAGACAUGGAGUGUAAGACAUGCUCCUUAACCCGGUAGCAGCAGGAAUCACGUUUCUUAAUGGUCCCUCCAAGCGAGAAAAAUGACAAAAAAUCACCCCUCACACAAACCAUUUCAUAAUAUAUAUCAAAGCAUUUGUGAUCAGAUUAUGCAUCAUCUAUUUUAGGGGGGUUUAUAUCAUGGCAUAAAUUUGGCCCGUCGCUGCUACACGGCAAAGCCACAAAUUUGGCCCGUCGCUGCUACCAGGUUAACUGACUUCCAAAUAAUUCAGCGCUAUUUGGGAAAUGAUAAGGGGGUAUUGAGUGCCUUUGAAGAACAUGGAUUACCCACUAAGAGGCAGUGCGGUAAUUGUGGGUGUGAACUGUCUCUCAGAUCAAACAAGAGACAAGUCUACCCUCCACUGAAGUAGGUUAAGUAUUGCAUUAAAAUUUAGUUUCAUGUUCUUUUGUGGACACAGAUUAUGUUUUUAUGGGCAGAAUGUGACUUUAUUUUGUGGAGAAUUUAUUUCUGAGCAAACCAGUAACAGUAUAGGUCAAAAGAAAAAGGACGGGUAGAAGGAGGAGCGUAAGGUUGGAAGUCGGGGUUGGUGUAUUUUUUAAAUAGUUUAUAAUUAUAAUUGUACUUAAAGGGGGGCAAGGGGGGGCAAAGCACUUCCCAUUAGGUAAGGUUGGUUUUGUUUAAAAAUAAUUCAUGAUUACUGAGAGAGAGAGAGAGAGACCCUCACUCCCUCGCUCUCACAGAAAACGGGUGUGGAUGGCACGGCAUGGGCUGGGUGUGCUAUGGGGAGCUAUAGUAUUCCUGAUAUAAUUACUCCCCAAAAUUAGUUUUUUUACUGGUUUGCACAGAAAAAACUAUCUCCACAAAAAAAGUAGUCAUAUUUUGCUCAUGAAAACAUAGUCUGUGUCUUGAAAAUAAUAUGCCUACUCCUGCUGCAUUUUUACUGUUUAUACUAUGUGAUAAAACUAACCUAACCUAAGCAAACAAGGCACCACAAAAAAGGUACAAAUGACUGAGCACAACUCCACACACAGUGAAACAUGACAAGUGCCUGCCACAAGAUAUUUGAAACUUUACCAUAACAUCAAUGAAGAGCGUGAAACAAAAACUGGGCAGAUGAUUGAGUAAGGGCUGAUUCACACAACCAAUCUGGGUUCAGACAGGCAGGCCGCCAGCUUGUUGUUUACUUACUUUACUUACUUUCUUAUGAUCCCGUCAAGAUUUCUUACAUACAUUCUAAUACAACUGUUGAAAUUGACCUCUCUCUUUGCCACUCUAUACUAAUCGCUAUAUGAGAGCAACAGUUAGCGGGCUUUCUUUUUUUUAAAUCUUUUUGUUGCCCUUGAGUUGCUGUGCUGAGAAUGGGUAGAGAAAGUUCAUUAUUUUUAGAAGCAAAUAGUCUAAAUAUCACGUUAGUAUUGUUAAUAUUACAAUUUAUUCCCUUUUAACCCGUAUUAGAACUUGAAUAUAGUAAUAAAGGUUAUACAUAUCACUGUGGAGCACUAUUUAUAGGUCAUGUUUUAGAGUUGUAUACGUAGCCUUCCCCAUUCAGAUAAAAAAAAAAUGUUCACAUGGUCUUAACCCAGUAGCGGCAACGGGCCAAAUUUGUGGCUUUACUGUGUAGCAGCAACCGGCCAAAUUUGUGCCAUGAUUUAAACCCCCCCAAAUAGAUGAUACAUAAACUGAUCACAAAUGCUUUGAUAUAAAUUAUGACAUGGUUAGUGUGAGGGGUGAUUUUUUCUCAUUUUUCUCGCUUGGAGGGAAGAACCAUUAAGAAACAUGAUCCCCACUGCUGCCAGGUUAAAAAAAAAAAUGUUCACAUGGUCUUAAAUUACCCAGACAAACCACCUUUGCCAGGAAGCAAACCUCAGGGACCAUAUUCUCAAACGCUUCGCCACUUACACACUCACAUUUGACAGGUUUUUUGAAGAGGAAUUGGGCAUUUCCAGAGGUACAUUUAUGAUCCUGGUGGUAGUUUGACCCCUCUUCUGUACCUUAAAUGUGAAAAACACCCAUGAAAACCUGAUUAAACUCCAUUUUAGCCUUUGGAAAUAUAUGACAUGAGAGGUGGAAGCGUCUGAGAAUACCGAUCCAGCUGUGCCAAUGACAAUCAGUGUGGCCCAAGGAAACCCAGCCGAGACCAACAAGGGCCAUAUUAUUAAACAUUUCAUUGCCCAAGUUCACAUUUUAGACAAGGCUUGCGUAGGAGCUGUAAGCCUUUCCAGGAGUAAUUUUAUGACCCUGGUGGUAGUUCGACCCUUCUU